GUGAGGAAUAUUGGGCAAUGCCCGCAAGGGUGACCCAGCAACGCCGCGUGGAGGAUGAAUGUCGUAAGAUUGUAAACUCCUGUUAGAGGGGAAGAAUAGUACCGGUUGGACCGGUAUAUGACUGUACCCUCAGAGAAAGCCCCGGCUAACUACGUGCCAGCAGCCGCGGUAAUACGUAGGGGGCAAGCGUUGUCCGGAUUUACUGGGUGUAAAGGGCGCGCAGGCGGGAUAAAAAGUCAGUGGUGAAAUCCUACAGCUUAACUGUAGAACUGCCUUUGAUACUCUUAUUCUUGAGUUCGGGAGAGAGAGACGGAAUUCCAGGUGUAGUGGUGAAAUACGUAGAUAUCUGGAAGAACACCAGUUGCGAAGGCGGUCUCUUGGUCCGACACUGACGCUGAGGCGCGAAAGCGUGGGGAGCAAACAG
Molecule: ribosomal RNA, 424 nt
Filed under: uncultured bacterium
Lineage: Bacteria
Description: bacterial SSU rRNA
Rfam family: Bacterial small subunit ribosomal RNA
Source: RNAcentral